Non-coding RNA from Nitrosospira sp. Nsp11, 180 nucleotides. NCBI's taxonomy places the organism in Bacteria, Pseudomonadati, Pseudomonadota, Betaproteobacteria, Nitrosomonadales, Nitrosomonadaceae. The record is from Rfam.
UGUUCCCUGCGGUGUUUGUUUAGCCCUAUAUUCUUUGAACCAACUUUUUAAGAACUGGUUGCAAACCAUCGUGAUGCUGUUGUGCGAGUCCUCUAAGGAAGCGCCUGAUGCAUCCGGCUAGUGACCGCCUUGGACCCUAAGGUUCAAGAUAAAUGGGUUGACGGCAUCCGCGGGGACCUU